AUCGUGGCUCACUUCAUGUUGUAUCUCAGUGCGGUGAUGAAGGACAUGGAUGGAGUUGGAGGAUGGUCUUACAGCGCAUUUCGAUGCUUGAUUUUGGACACCGAUAAUGCUCCUAUUAAUCUAGGAGUGAAAAGAGGGAAACAAACGCGCAUCAAGCACAUUCAAUUAGUAGAGGAACGAAAGCAAAAGAACUGUUCAAUGGGAUUUGAAGACCAUCACGGCUAUGGAAAUCAGCAAGAGAGAUGGUGAGAAGGAACAAGAUGGAGUAGAUGCGGAUGAAGCUAAAACCGGUCGGAUCCGACGGUGGGCUGCUUCUGGAGCUUGCGAUUCCGCCGGAGAAUACGUCGGUGUCAAUUGCUGGGCCUGUGGCUGGCUGCUUUCUGGUGCCGGAGCUACUGCUACUGCUUUGGAAACUGCCCACACAAAUUAAAGAACAAUUAUUAGAUAAUCAUGCACAAGGAGGUUACCUUGUGGGCUUAGAGGAGAAGCAGCUGCAGUAGGAGAUGGUGCAGCUGGUCCAAGUGAGAUAGGCAAGUUGGUAAUGUUACAAGAACUUGGAAGAACGAGCGCAAGGGCCGCAUUGAUGGGCAGUGGAACAGGCACAUUAGCAGUAAGUAAAAGGCAGACACAGUCCAUGCUUAUCCCCGACAGCGAACUCAGUGUGGU
Molecule: long non-coding RNA, 666 nt
Organism: Cucurbita moschata (crookneck pumpkin)
Lineage: Eukaryota; Viridiplantae; Streptophyta; Magnoliopsida; Cucurbitales; Cucurbitaceae
Exons: 4
Source: RefSeq, a predicted model, not a curated record